GUCCCAGUAGCUCAGUUGGAUAGAGCAGUCGCCUUCUAAGCGACGUGUCGGGAGUUCGAAUCUCUCCUGGGACGCCA
RNAcentral lists this transfer RNA (77 nucleotides) under Collibacillus ludicampi. RNAcentral describes it as "tRNA-Arg". It matches the Rfam family "tRNA". From Rfam's summary of the family: Transfer RNA (tRNA) molecules are approximately 80 nucleotides in length. Their secondary structure includes four short double-helical elements and three loops (D, anti-codon, and T loops). The record is from RNAcentral. Lineage: Bacteria; Bacillati; Bacillota; Bacilli; Caryophanales; Alicyclobacillaceae.